ACCAGCAAUUUGCAUCGCUCCUUAGAAGAAGUCUCUGAUUGAUGGCCGCCUUGGCCAGACAAUUAUAUGAACUGGCAGCGGUUGCGUGUAAUUACUGAUCGAUUUUUGUUCUUUUCGGCUGUGAACUUGGGCUUUGGAGAACUAGACUCACGGAAUGCACAGGGAAGCUCAACUAUGUCACGCUCUCAACAACUUUCGGAUCCGAUUACUGUAAUUAACUUGUUCUAAUCGCCUUUCGACGAGGUGAUGAGGCAAAACUCAAAGUGUGUGGCGACUUAAGCUAAUUACAACUUAUGUAAGCGCCUAAUCGGCGGGUUUGAAGCUCAUGAAAAAGAAACACUCCCCUGCAAACAUGGGCAAUCCAUUGCGGAGGACAUUACUCAUCUCAUUCCGUGUGGCAAAUAGGAAAAGCAAGCCUCUGGCGAGGCACAAGGAGGCACUCAAGACAUCGCCGCAGUGCUCUCAGUGCGGAAUUUAAUUGCCAUAUAAAUGAAGGACAGCCAGUGCCUCCCCAAAGACUAAUUGCCGAGCGGUACGAACGCAGCACACAAUAUUGAUCGAUGUGGCAAGUCACGAUGCUGAUGCUGAUGCUGAUGGCGCCUGCCUUCAGCCGUAGAUGGCGACAAACUGUUGCAUGUGACCCACAAAUGAGGCCAACUGUAAAAUGGGCUCCAAGGCAAAGGACCCAGCCAAACUGAGCCUAGUUCUAAUGGGCGCUGGCGACGAUGACGAUGGGAUGCCACACGUACGAUUGCCGCCAGUCAUUAAACAGAGAGAAAGCGAACUCCCUGGGAAUUCUCGGGGGGACCACUGUCCCCAUACCCUACCGAUUUCGACUGCCACCGCCCGCUGAUAAUUAAAUGAAAUUUCAUUAAU
Molecule: long non-coding RNA, 876 nt
Organism: Drosophila biarmipes
Lineage: Eukaryota; Metazoa; Arthropoda; Insecta; Diptera; Drosophilidae
Exons: 3
Source: RefSeq, a predicted model, not a curated record